GUGGGGAAUAUUGCGCAAUGGACGAAAGUCUGACGCAGCGACGCCGCGUGAGUGAUGAAGGCCUUAGGGUCGUAAAGCUCUGUUGAAUGGGAAGAAAAAAAUGACGGUACCAUUCGAGGAAGGACCGGCUAACUACGUGCCAGCAGCCGCGGUAAUACGAGGGGUCCUAGCGUUGUUCGGAAUCAUUGGGCGGAAAGGGUGUGUAGGUGGCCAUGUAAGUCAGGUGUGAAAGCCCCGGGCUCAACCCGGGAAGUGCACUUGAUACUGCGUGGCUUGAGUACCGAAGAGGGUAGUGGAAGUCCAGGUGUAGUGGUGAAAUACGUAGAUAUCUGGAGGAACACCGGUGGCGAAGGCGGCUACCUGGUCGAGUACUGACACUGAGACACGAAAGCAUGGGGAUCAAACAGGAUUAGAAACCCCAGUAGUCC
Molecule: ribosomal RNA, 428 nt
Filed under: uncultured bacterium
Lineage: Bacteria
Description: partial 16S ribosomal RNA
Rfam family: Bacterial small subunit ribosomal RNA
Source: RNAcentral